CCUGGAAGGCACGCUCCCGCGUGAGGCUGCGAUGACGCAUGAGAUAGGCGGUGCAGACGGCGGCGGAGCGGCUGCGGCCGUUCUUGCAGUAGACGAGGCAGGCACCACCGGCGCGUACCGCGGCCUCCAUGGCGGCACAGGUCCAGACAUCACCUACGUAGAGGCCUUCUCGGCAUCCAUUUCCUUCUUCUGUGGCCUAAGGAAGGAUUCUGACUUUCCUGGGAUGGGAUUCCCAUUUUUCCCAGAGUUCACGGGAGCCAUCCAAGUAGGUGGAGAUUCCCUGUCCCCCAGCUCCAGAAUCGGGCUUCUGAUUACGUCCAGUCAGUGACGCCUAUACCCCCAUGACUGCUUCGGGAAAGGGCUUGGGCUGCCAUGUGAACCAGAGAGGAGAGAGGGGCUUGGAAACCUCUGUCCUCUCCUUAUGAGCACAGAGGGAAGCCAGCCUUGGUUGAAAGCACAGCUGAAGAAACGGUCCUCGAAGAUAUUGCUGGGCCACUGGAUCAAACCAAACCUGAAGAGCCUCCAGCUUCUGGACUGUUUGGUUUCCUGAGCCAUCCAAUCACCCUUUACUGUUGGAUAUUUGAGUCGACACCACCUGCCCACCACACCAUGGCCCAGUGGUUUUCAAAGCGUGGUGGGAACUUGGUAGCAAUGCACAUUCUCAGGAGUCCACCUACUCAGGACCUGCUGAAGCGGAAACCCUGGGAGUGAGACACAGGAAGCUGUGUGUUGCCAUGCCCUCCGUGUGAUUCUGAUAAAAGAUAAAAACCUAACCAUCAUUUAGUUGAUCUAAAAAAUUCAUCCCGGAGGCCCCAGAGGGGGAAGAGGAGGAGCCCGAGGGUCCCCUUAGGGAGCAGGACCUGAAGGAGGCCUGCAUCGAGCUCGCCCAGGGUGUGCAGGAGUGGCAGGACGGCUGCGUCUACCGAGGAGAGUUCAGCAGGACAUGAAGCUGGGAUGCGGCGCAUUCUCUCGGCCCACGGGCGAGGCAAGUCGUUCCUGGUGCUCUCCCCUCUCCGGCCCCAGUUCAGCCAGCCACGGCCUGUCCCUCUCCUUCGGAGAGGCACGUGCUGUGAGCUCAUAGAUCCACCGAUGGGAAGGAUGCUAGGCAAAUGUCCUUCCUAUUUGAGAAACACCCAGAGAGACUUCUGAGAUCACGUCCGAGGUUCGCCUGGGUGUCCACAGGCUGCAGCUCGGGAAACUGUGACUUCAGAAGAUAAAUUCUUAUUCUAGGCAAAUAUUUUAAAAUUGUGAAUUACUGUCGUGAGUUGUAUAUUUGUAUUGAUGAAAUUGCCUUGUAUUUAAGCUCAAACAGAAAAAGUGGAUCUUCCUAAAAGUGAAAGUGCACUUUUGCGCCCCUGCAGCAGGCGGUGUCAGGACCUCAGUGGGGACUCUGAGGGGCCCGUGGCAGGAGCUGUUGGCGCCACCUGGCGUCCCCACGAGGGUGGAGCAGCCGUGCGUCUGGCGAACCUGGGGGUAUGCUGUGGCCUGGGGGCUUAGUGCGCCUCCCCCAGGGGGAAGCUGGCUUCUGAAGGCUUCCCAACAAUGUGCUGCAGGUGCGCUGGUGGAGGAUUCUGCCCUGCUUGCAGGGUUGUGUGACUCAGUGGAGACUUAAGUGCAUCUUUUGCUUGCAGAUAAUAAAAACCGUCUGGAGGCACUGUAGGGGUGUGUGCGUUUGGGGGGUUGGAAAAGCAUCAGAGGGCAGGACACCUGGCACUGAAGCUCUUCUGGGAAGCAGGCGCUGGCUGGCACAACCUCCUAGGGGCUGUGUAGGGUUCCGGCUCUGCCCCUCUCUCUUCCAGGCUUGGUUCUGCCUGUGGGGCCCCGGUUCACCUGGUUUUGGCGCCCAAGGCUGGGGGACCUCGCCCAGCCCCUCACCUCCUGCACUUAGUCUCCCGAGUCCAGGGGAGAGCGGGGCAGGGAGGCGAGCGGGGGUCUUGGGAUGGAACCUGGGGAGCGGUGGGGGCAGGGAGGGGACAGCAGGAGCAGCGGCAGGCAGAGGCGGAGCUUCUGGGCCCCCAGCCCAGUCCCCCUGGAGUGCGCCCCCAGCACGGAGGAGCCUCCAGACCUCACGUGAGGACAGAGGCCGCGACCCGAGCCCGUGCUGAGCUUCUGCCAAAGAAUGCACGGCAUCGUGACCCCGAUGACCAAGCGCUGAUUUUUGUUCAGCAUCUGUUUCUUUAGUCCUUGGCUACUUCCUCUUUUACCCAACACUGUGGUGUCCAGUGGUCAGACAGCCUGUGUUCCCAGCCGUGGUAGGUUGGGGCCCACUGACCGGCCCUCCUGGCCCCGGGUCCUCGCCGUGCAGGGGGACCACAGCAGGUGGAGCCUCGGCUUUGUCACUGCCUGGGGGGACGUCUGGGUCCACUGAGCAGGUGCUCCUGCAGCCACGGCGGCUCCUGAACCAAAGAGGCCAGGAGGACGAGAGGGCGUGCAGGCCGAGAGCAGCGGCUUUAAACGUGUCAGCUGUCUUUGAGGAACGGGCCCAAGCGCAUCAGUCCGGCUGGUCAGAUGAGGCUCCGGCACCGUGUGGAGGAAGGAUGGAGAGGUUCCUCCAAAGCUGCACCCUCCUGGGAGUGGACAGAAACCCUCUCUCCUGCAGGCGAACCGACGAGCCCCCGGGGGGGUGGAUUCUCCUCACAGUUCUACACAAAUGGUCUGCAACGUGGGACUUCUUUUCAGUUGGAUAGACUCUGAUAGGCCCCCCCAAAUCAUACAAAUGGAAUGAAGGUGGGCAUCAGAUGGGCUGUCCCCCGCCCAGCGCCUCACUGCUCAUUGUGUCCCUGCACUGGCCAGGAGUAGUAACUGGCAGGACCAGGUCCCCCCACAUGGGACUGGAAAGGACCCUUGUAGGCUGCUGUAACUGCAAAGUCCACCUUCAGGGCUCACGCAGCCUCAGGCUUGGCUGGGUCCAGGGGUUCCAGCGACUCUGUCAGGCCCUCUCUCUCCCAUCUCCAUGUGGGCAGCCAAGUUUGACCUUCUGCCAUGAGGCAGAAGAGGGUGGUGUCGGUGUCACACCUUCCUGCAAGAGAGAAAGGGCCCUAGUGGACACUGGUGAGACUCGGGGAUGCGUCCCGUGGCCAAACGCAAGUCAAGGCUGGAGGCGGGGGUGGGAGCCCUUCGCUUGGCCAGGCCUGGCCACGUGUGCUGGGGCUGGUGUCAGUCCUCCGUCAACCUGUGGGGACUCGUCUCCGUCACCAGAGGAAGAGAAGGGGCGCUAAGCAGGCCGCAGUCACCGUCCCUCAGGCGCAGGGUGGCCUGUGAGCACGGCCGCCGGCCGCCUGAGAGCCCAGCCGCCUGCUUCUGGUGGGGAAGGCGGCUGUCUGACUCGCGUGAGAGUCAAGUCUAGUGACUGAAAAGUGCUCGGAAUGGACAUGGCGCUCUGAUUUCCUCCUGGGGCCCCAGUAGAGGGGCACCUGCACCACACUCCCCCCCCCCGCCCGGGGCUCUGGACCCGAGCACAGACGGCCCACGUCCAUGGCCUCAGGAGCGAGCAGUCUUAAGUUAGGGCCACGCCAGCGACCCCGGGGCUAGCGGCCCCCCACUCUCUGGGCCAGCCUGCUAACGUGGACCUGAGCGGGGGCGACGGGGUGAGAGCAGAGCCCGGCGUGGGGCUCCCGAGUGGAGACAGCUCCCGCCCAAACCCAGGCAGUGCCGACACCUCCCCAGACUCCCCCGCCUGAGCCGGGCAGGAGGGAGCGUGGCCAUCGGGGGGCCGAGCGCCUGGCACCCGCUAUGCGUGAUUCGGGUGACCCCUGGCACUUGAGGGGGGCCUGGUGGCCCGGCCCCCUGUGAGCCCAGUGCAGCCCCGCAGCCCCUGUUCACUGUGGCCCAGGCCUGGAGGCUCAGCUGGGAGGGCGUUCUGGAAGGUUCUGGGGCGGUGCAGGGCGGCUCCUCCAACAGAGCCGCUGCGGAGCUCUCUGUUCACAGUCCUACCACGGGCAGUUCUGCCGGGACCACCGCCACGGCCUGGGCACGUACGUGUGGCCGGAUGGCUCCAGCUUCACGGGCACGCUUUACCUCAGCGCCUGAGAGGGCUACGGCACCACGUACCUGAAGACGAGGCUCUUCCAGGUGAGGGGAUGGCCCUGGUGUUCAGGCCACCGGACAGCAGCACAGGUGCUCCUGGGGAAGAUUGUUUGUUUGACGAGAAGUAGCUUUCUUGGUCUUAGUGAGUAUAAUAGUAUCGUCACAAGGCACAGUCGUAAGAUGCGUGAAAAGAAAAUGAAAACAACAGGAAAAAAAAAUGAAAGCUGGUCGCUGUUCUGCUCCCCGGAGCAGGGACGGGCUAGCAGCACGUCGUGUAUCCUUAGGUUAAACAGUAGACUCACCGAAGAUAUUUACCUCUUUACACAUAAACUGGCUCAGUCUACACUUACUGUUUUGAGACUUGCCCUUUUUCCUGGAGAAGAUUCCUGGUUUUGCAAAUAGAGAUACCUCCCCCGCCCCCAUCUUACUCAUUCCAGGAAAAGCCCCGCUUCAGCACACAGAGCUGGAAGCUCUGACAGCAUAGAGCUGUGUGACAACCACCACAGUCAAGGUGCGGAACAGUCCCAGCAGCCCCGGAACGUCACCCGUGUGCCCUUGGAGCAGCUCUGUCCUCCCACCCCCAGCACCCAGCCGUUGCGUUUUUGCCUAUAAUUUUGCCAGGUCAUAAGACUGUCAUGUGUCUUCUUCUGCGUUUAUGGUUUUAGCUCUUACCUGUAGGUCUGUGUUUGAGUUAAUUUUUGUGUUUUUGUGUGAAGUAAGGCUCCCUCCUCCUCCUCCACGUGUGGACGUCCAAGUGUUCCAACUCCAUCUGCUGAAAAGACUCACUUCUCCACCGCCUAGCCUUUGCGUCUUUGUGAAAAAUCACAUCUGGAAACUAUAAAGCAUCAGUGAAUGUAAGGGAUGAUUAUUGUUCAUGGCUGGCUUUUUUUUCUUUUUUUCUGAGUUGUAAGAAAACUUAGCAAUUGCCUGCUCCUCGGAUUUUGAACCUGGGAACCUUGGAUUGGAGGUGUAUGUUCCCAGACUCCCUGAAAUCGUGUGCAAAAAUUAGUGGGAAUGGGCAUUUUAGGGGAAGGAGGAUCCAUCGCCAGCAAGUUUUCAGAGGGGGCUGUGACCCAGGAGAGUUAAGAACCACAAUUCCUUUGCCACGAGGAGGAAACUGAGGCCUAAAUGUCAUUUGGGACCCGUCGCAGCCAAUUUGAAAUCUCUGUUGAAUCCCUGGGAUAUGUGAGCUGUUCUCUGCAUAUUCAGGGUAACGACACUCCACUGUUUGGCUUCUAUUCUGAGUCUUUUCACCAUGGGUCGCCUGAGGGGUGGUUGACGCAUAUGGUACGGUGGCCCCCAAUAUAAAGGAGCUGAAAGAAGGAGUGGAUGUGUUCUCUAGGAUCACGAAGCCUGUUUAAUCUUUGGGCCAACAGCUUAUGUUCUGGUGCCUGACUACCUUCCUGACUGUCUCACUGACCAUUUUCCACGACCACCGUUGCCAUCGUUCCUCCUGUUUUGUAUUCUUAGUUUGUGUGGUUGGCAGUGAGCAGGCUUAGUUUUAAAUGGUGCUGCCAAGUCCAGCUAAUUAAUGGUGCAGGUGGGUUUUAGCAAGCUGGCUGACUGGGCAAACUGAGCCAGGCAUGGAAUUCCUGAAGAUGUUUGGGGGUUCGUCUUUAUUAAUCGAAGGUUAACAUUCUCUGACAACUUUUGUUAGAACUUCUGCUGAACCUCAAGAUCAGUAGGUUGCAAGUGUUUCAAACCUUCACUUUUUCCCGGCCUGCUUUGUGUAUUCGCUUUGCUUGCAAGUGUGUUUACUCAGAUGGCCAAAAGGCCCGUCCGUGCUUCUUUGUUCAUUGUCAGCUGCUUUUAUCAAAUUCCAGGCCAUUAUCCAGCAAACACUAGAGAAAUUUGAACACUUGGAUUUCAAACAUUUUUUUCAGUUUGUGGAGUGGUGCUACCAGUGGUACCGUUCUAAGCAAGCAGGCACAAAGCCACAGGGCGGAGACAAAGGAUUUCGGUUCCAGAGAAGUGACUGUUUUGGAGAAAAAUGUGUUGGUCUUUUAGCUCUUUUGUAAUUAAAUCUGGAUGUACCUCAGAAGAAUCUUAAGACUGUGUUGAUAAGAUGCUUUCCUCAGGAGAAAGGAGGAAAAAAGCAACUGGAACUCAAAGCUUGAAGUUCUGUGACAACACAUGAGCUGUCCAGGAUAGGAGGUUGACAGGGUUUCACUACAGCGCUCUGCUCUUGCUGGAACAGAUGUCCUUCAGUGUAGUCACGGCGUGGACUCCAGACUUCCAGAUUUUCAAGAACUGGAUCAGGGACCUGGAAGAGAUUAUCAAAGUGUGACGGGAACUUGGGAGCUGGAUUUUUUUAUAUUUGAAUUUGGGGACUGUUGUCCUUGCUCUGAGAAAAGAGACAAUGACAGCGAGCACUGCCGCCAGCGCUGUUACUGGGAAUUCGGAGACCUGAGUUUUCGCCAGACGCUCAGUGCAGACUCUGGCGAUGCUCCGCCCAAAGUGAACUCCGCCUGCAGAUGUGGCCCCUGGACUUUCGCCCAUGGUGAUUCUGCCACCUUACUACUGAAGAAGGCGUCAUUCCAGUGGACCACGUGACCCAGGAGGCAUCCAGCGAAGCAUCAGGAUGUGGCCUUCACCUCCACUCCCGUGCUGUUCUACCCGGAUUCAGCACAGCCCUUUGUAGGGAAGUCAACUCCUCAAGCCAAAUAGCUGAAGCUAUUUUAUCAACAAAGGCUCCAUUUCUUCCAUGAGUGUGCGUUUUGUUUCUUCAGUUAAAGCCUUCAGAGACACAUAAUACAUUUGGACCAGGGGAUAUUUAGUUGUCAGCACUGUCUGAAGAAUGGCAACGUCUUUUUGAGAACCACAUCGGACCAUGCCCCACUAUCUUAAAAGACUGAAAUUCAGGAAAUAUCUAACCUGCACCCCAUUCUUUUUCCGCGUCAGAUCUGUAGUAGCCUGCUGAAUGAGUAAGCAGAUGUUCUGACCCACUGGGAUUAAAACAAGGGCACAGUGAACUCCCAGCAUCUUCUUUGCGAUUACUCAGGAACCAGAACUUUUCACACAAAUGGAAGAAAUUCUACCAAGGAAUCCGUUUACCUAACAGCAUCUCACAAAGCUCCAAUCAGAUUCCAGAAAACGCCUCUUGAUACAUCCAGCACUUUGUGAACAACUUAUUUUUGUUGUUAAACCAAUUAGAUCGUGGGUUUUCCAAAGUCUUUGUGGCCAUGAAGCCCUUCGAGUGAAAACUUUAUGGAAGCCCAGAGUAAAAGUGAAGCUGCUCUGGAGGAAGCAGAAGUGGGGGCCUACAACCUGCCACAAGCAUCUUACUUUACCACCAUGGUGACAUCUAAGGAGACUUCUUUACAGCAACUAGAAUUCUUCAGAACACAGUUUGAAGACCACUGCCCUAGACAACAGUAUGUUCGACCUGAAUGGCAUUCUGUCCUGUACCUGUACCCAGCACCGUCCAUGUUCAGUUGAUGCUGAACAUUCUUAGGAAUAGUUACCGUGGGCAAACUCAGAAAAGUGCAGGAAGAUGGGCAUACCUUUGCCCCCCAGAGUAGUCAUACGGGCUGAAGAGGUGGCAUCAAAUGGACCUAGAGUAAUAGCCCUCUACCCACAGAUGGACUGCCAGUGACUCCUGGAUCUGAUACAGCCGGAGGGCACCCCAUCCGCACCCCAC
Long non-coding RNA from Orcinus orca (killer whale), 7666 nucleotides. RefSeq lists it as uncharacterized. NCBI's taxonomy places the organism in Eukaryota, Metazoa, Chordata, Mammalia, Artiodactyla, Delphinidae. The transcript is spliced from 5 exons. The record is from RefSeq and is a predicted model, not a curated record.